Molecule: non-coding RNA, 201 nt
Organism: Chiloscyllium plagiosum (whitespotted bambooshark)
Lineage: Eukaryota; Metazoa; Chordata; Chondrichthyes; Orectolobiformes; Hemiscylliidae
Source: RefSeq, a predicted model, not a curated record
GGAGGGUCACGGGACCUGAAAGCAUCAAUCAUAUUGUUGUAUGCCUGGAGUUACAGGUAGGGAUAGCAGAUUUUCUUCCUUAAAGGAGUUGCCUGUCACAGUCUUCCACUGCAAUCAGAGUAUAGAAUCAGCAGUAAGCACAGAGUCCACUUCCUCCUCGAGGGCCCUGCUGCCAUUGGCAAUGUCAAACACACUAUUACA